Molecule: long non-coding RNA, 522 nt
Filed under: Vombatus ursinus (common wombat)
Lineage: Eukaryota; Metazoa; Chordata; Mammalia; Diprotodontia; Vombatidae
Description: lncRNA (ENSVURG00010021211.1)
Source: RNAcentral
CCCAGGCUGUGGUUGUUUUCCCUCUUCCCCCCCCCCUUUUUUUUCCUCUCUUCUGCCCCCCCCCCCCCCCCCAAAUACCUGCUUUGCUCUUCACUAAUUCAUUAUUUUAACUUUGGGAAAAGUUUGCAGUGAAUUUAAAGCUAAUGAAGUGCAUAGGAAAACCUGAGGAGUCAGGUUGAUAGAGUAGCAUGGACUUGUUAAUCUCAGCCUGAUCUUGUCAGUAACAGCAGAGCAGAGGGAGAGAGAGAGGAACUCCGGCUGGGGCAGCGCUCCAAAGGACAGAGUGGAGUGCUUGUGAUUCCAGUCCUAUCAAGACCAGUGAAGGUGAAGAGUCCGGGUUCGUAGUGGGUUUGUUCCUGUGUUGGGUGAAUUGAAGACAAAGCUGGACACCUUGUGCUCAUGGCUCUCCUAGAGAAACACAGAGUGAAGCGGCAGCGCCUUGACCGCUUAUUUGAAGGAGCAUAUUGCAGAGCCUCUAGGAGCUUCCAGGGUUCAUGCCAAGGAGUACAAGGAGUACAUAAC